AAAAUAAGAGAACCUCAAAUGUCUCUCAGAUAAAUAAACUCCAAAAAAGAAAUGGACCGAGACAGGAGCAAGUUGGUUCACCAAGAAGGACCUAAACACAGACGCACGGACCUGCCUCCAAUUCAACAUUCUGUCAGCCAGGGGGACAGGACUCUGCGUCGGUCACCUCUCCCCACUCGUGAGCUGCGAGGAUGACGGGAGGCAGGGAACGGGGCCCCGCACUCCGAAGGCGGGGGGUCCUUCAGCAAGAGGCUCCUGGGAGGCCGUGGGGCCCAUCACGCCAGACUAUGCUCGCGGCCUCUGGGGAUGCGUCACAACAAAAUCACUGGUCUCUGGCCCGCGGAGGGGAGUGCGGGGAAGGCGCCAGGUCGGUGGAUUAUGGGCUACUGUACCGAACACACAGAGAACGUGCGGAAUGUGCACCGAUGGAAGGCGGGGAAUGGAGACGGUGCGUCCCCGCACCGGAUGGCAGCAGCCCGGCGGGGUCGGUGUGAGCUGCUGGACAUGGAGGGACGCCCAGGGGAUUCUUCUGUGCGCAAGGCUGGACGCGGGGCGUUGUUUCCAGAACGCCCCCUGGACUCACCAUCAAAGAGGCUAAAUUACGCUAAGGAUUUACCUGCUUCUUCCCAUCAGGUGAGGAGCCUGGAGGUGGGUGUCCUUGAGGAUCGGCCUCAUGGCCUGGGCAGCGGCAGUGAGUGGGACCAGCUUAGGGGCCUGAGCAGGAGUCUCCACCUCCUCGGACUGCAGUUUCUCUGGCAGGAAAACGGAGCGACAGCCUGGCAGACCCCCCGGCGCUGCAAGCAGGGCAGACAGGCGGCCUGAGACCCAGGGACCCGACGGUCACGGCCGCUCCGCCAGGCGCAUUCGCGGGCAUGGACCGCCAGUCUCCAGGAGCUCUGUGAAGUGACCAUGCAGCCAACCCUGCUGUCCAGGUGCUGAAAUGGCCCAGAGAGGCUGAGAGACUGCCCCAAAGCCACACAGCGCCCAGGAAGCGGCUGUGUGUCCAAUGCUCCCCCUGUCCUCCUCCCCCCACCAUUAGGAAACUCCGACUCCCAGGAGAUGACAUCCGUGGGUGACUGAGCUCAGAUAGGGCCAUGGGAUGGGACCCCUAGAGCGGAUUUGUGCCCCCAUAGGAAGAGGAAGACGCAGGAGACCCACCGCCACCCCGCAGACCCAUGCAACUACAGCAACAAGUCCGCAAACCAGCAGGGGGGUCUGGCCGGGACAUGAGCACGGAGCCACGCGAUCCCGGGCAGCCAGCCUCCAGCACUGCGAGGACUGAUCCCCGCCAUCUCAGCCGCCCAGUCUAGGGCAGCCCCAG
Molecule: long non-coding RNA, 1321 nt
Filed under: Mustela putorius furo (domestic ferret)
Lineage: Eukaryota; Metazoa; Chordata; Mammalia; Carnivora; Mustelidae
Description: lncRNA (ENSMPUG00000027704.1)
Source: RNAcentral